CCUCUUCUCCUUCAUACCUUCUGCUGCCAUAACCCAGCCCAAACCUCAUCAUAAAUGAACCCUCAUGGUCCCCCCUCCUCUCCUUUCUCUCUUCCACGUCAUCAAGACCAUAACGAUCUCUGUCAGAAGAAGAUAUUCCAUUUUUCCCCUUUCCACGCGCUCUUGCUUCCCUUGGAUGAAAUUCGGAUUAAUGGUAGACGUAGGAUUCGAAAACUUUAAAUCCUAGUCUUCCAUUUGUCUUAGAACCAUCCAGAAAGAAGAACAAGAGGGGAUUUUCGUUUGGGGGCCGGGGAUUUUCGGAAUUUAUUGAAGGGCAAAUUCGGGUUUUUGGAGAGAUUUCUUGUUGAAGAAGGAGAAGCUUCGAGAGGGAGCUAUAUAUUUGGGGUCUGGACAUAGAUAGGGGGUUUUUCUUGUUUUUUUGGGGUUUUAUUUUUUUUUCGGAGAAAAUUGACGAAAAGAGAGGAGGCUUUGUUCUUAGCUUUUGGAUUUUUCUUUUUUGUUUUCCUUUGAAUUCCAUAGAGAAGAUAUAAAAAAUACCAAAAAAUUUCAGUUCUGUCAUUUUUCUUAAUUUGUUACAAAGGACAGAAAAUUCAAAAAGAAAGGGUUUUGUUCUUCUUCUGGAAUUCAACUGAGGUAUUAGGAGUUUGAUUGACAGGUCUUGCCGUUCGAAGUCGAGUUCGCGGUUCCUGUUCAAUCUAGUUGCUGCUUUUCUCAUUCGGAUUUUGGAUUCAGAGCAUUGUAGCUGGUUCUCUUAAUUAUCCGCUAUUAAGAAGGAACUCGCAUUCUCAGGUAUGGACCCGCUGAUUCGAUCCAAAGUGCUUAUGGUAGUAAAGAUUCCUAGGAAGCUGAUCAAGUGGUGGAAAAUGUUUUCAUCGUUAGAGCAGCAUGAGUUAAUGCAGAAAUUGGGCACCCCAACUUCCCUUCUCGAUAUCACACCCCACCCAGACAUAGUGGAGGCGAUGCUGAUUUAUUGGGAUCCGCAAAAUUUGAUUUUCAGAUUUGGAGAGUGUGAGAUGACCCCUACCUUGGUAGAAAUGUCUGGUCUCACUCGUUUAAGCUAUAUAUGCAAGGACAUGAUACUUCCCCGAGACCACUCUAGGACAAGAUUCCUCAGUGACCUGGGCCUGAAAGAUAAUAAGCAUUUAAAGUGUCUCGAGCAGUCCUGGAUAUCCUUGGAUUAUUUGUUUGCUAGAUUUGGACCAUAGGAUAGUUUUGACGUCUUUUGGGAUGAGUUCUGCACAACCAAGGCAAAGUGGCAGAGACGUCGCCUCGAAGCUUUCAGCCUUUCUUUGUUGAGAUUAUUGGUUUUUCCAUUAGAUGAGAGGCACAUUAGCACCCGUCUGCAGUCAGUGGUAAUGGAACUAUUUCAUGAGAAGCAACGCAAAACCGUUACUGUUGUGCCGAUGAUCUUAGCAGAGUUGUACCGAGCCUUGAGUGAGGUUAGGGAGGUGUCAGAUAUUUUGAGGGAAACAACCUUUUGCUACAACUGUGGAUGAUGGAGCAUUUUCACACCGCUUCCUUACUUUGUCCCAUCGACCGGGCCUUGAGGGAUUGGGUGGUAUGCAUCGAACGUAGGAUGAAAUCUCUUAAGUUUACGUACCCAGUAGGUGUCACGGCUUGGAUUGAGUUCCUUGGUUUGAGGACAAAUGGGAAUAUUUUGUGGUCUUACCUUUGGCUGCCUUUGGAUGAUAUCUUGAUAGGGUGCCUCAUGCAGCCUUUCCUGAUGCUGAUAGGACUCAAGUGUGUUAGGUCGUACACUCCCGUUAGGGUAAUGCGGCAAUUGGGCAGAAGACAAGAGGAGCCUCCAACUUUGAAUCUUCGAAGGCACAUCAUAAAUUUUAGUAAAAAGGCGGCUGAUGAAAUCAAGUAUGUGCAAUAUUGGAACAAUGCAAAGAGGAUGAAGAAAAAUACAUUAGUAGAGGACGUUGGCAGGCUCGAGUUUACUCAAGAGUACUUGAUUUGGUUACAGUCCGUUCCACCAGGGUCAGCACCCUAUUGCCAGCACAACUUAGGGGUCGGGCAGUUCAGACAGAUGAUUUUGAGGAGGUAUCUGACCAAGAUCCCUGUGAUAAGCUUGAGUUGAUAAAGUCUCAGUUAGCGGGAUUGGUAACAAACGUGGAGCAGCAUGGCCAGUAUUUGUUUAGGGUCGACCUUCAGGAUGCGGGGGCAUACGCCAGGACCUUUAUUCCCAGCAUCAGUGUUUCUUUACGAGGCAUGUUACAGAGUUUGAGCAUGACGGACAUCCCAGGAUCAUCCCAGCCAAAACCAUCGCAUUCAGGAGCAGCUUGAGGAGUCAUUCUAUUUAGGUGUUUUGAGAUUGUCGUUUGUUGUCUUUUACUUUCGUGUCUUGUCUAGAAGUACUGAGUCCUUUAGGUGGUGUCAAAGUCUGUCGUAGUGUAGUUGAGUCUGUCAGGUCUUUUAUUAUCGCACUUCCCAUUGUAUUUUAAUAUCGAAAAGUUUUUAAAUGAAAAAUCCCAAAAAGAUUUUGUUUUUAAUUUAUUUUCUAUCGCUUUUACAGAACUACGCUUGGUCUGAUUCAUGAGGGGCAUGAUACGUAAGCAACCUACAUUGGGUUUGAUCAAAUCAUUUUUGGUUCAAAAUAAAAAGAGAAAGAGAAAGAAAAGAGUGAUAAGAGGUGUUGGAAAAGAAAGAGAAGGAAGGAUUGAAAUGAGCAAAUCAGGAUGAUGCCAUAUGACCCUGCGACCUUCAAAGCCAUUUUAGAACCAUUAAUUAUUGCUAGAUGCAUUGCACGUAAUGUGAUAUUAUUAUUUUAUAAAUGCUCUAACACUAACAUGGUGGUUUUGUGUUGUU
Molecule: long non-coding RNA, 2811 nt
Organism: Nicotiana tabacum (common tobacco)
Lineage: Eukaryota; Viridiplantae; Streptophyta; Magnoliopsida; Solanales; Solanaceae
Source: RefSeq, a predicted model, not a curated record